This is a long non-coding RNA of Rhodamnia argentea, 560 nucleotides long. RefSeq lists it as uncharacterized. The record is from RefSeq and is a predicted model, not a curated record. Lineage: Eukaryota; Viridiplantae; Streptophyta; Magnoliopsida; Myrtales; Myrtaceae. The transcript is spliced from 3 exons.
GGGUCCAGACAGAGAACUGGUUUUUCUUGUUAAAAAAAACAAAGAAAGAAAAGGCUGGUUCUCACAUGCCAUUCUCUGCUCUGGUGUUAGGACAGCCAGAGCCCUGUCCACCAUACUUACCAAAAUGGAAGCUUUUCAAAGAGGUAAGAGGUAAUUUUGAUGCAGCAGUUAGGAAGGUAUUGAAACAAACAAGCAAAAAAAGCAGCACAGAAUGGGACUAUUCUGUGGAAUUCAAUGCUAAUUUCUGGUACAGUUUCAAUUCUCAACUACUGUACACUCGGCUUCACUACUUGAAAUCCAAAAACUGCACCCACAACAAGCCCAAAUAGUAAUUCCUACUUAAGGCACCACCUUCCUUCCUUGCCCCCCCGUGCCCUCACUCAAAAGAAGAAAAGUGGCAUCUUCUCUGUUCCUCAAUGCUUGCUUGCUUCAUCACUACAACCACACACACUCUCUCUCUCUCUCUCUGAGUAAGCCUUGCACUGUCCGAGGUCCGUGGACCCACGUACAUGUGCCCGCUGAUGAAACCCACGAGCGGGGCUCAAAUGAUCAAUGGCAGC